This 289-nucleotide ribosomal RNA is filed under the name Lactiplantibacillus plantarum. RNAcentral's name for it is "partial 16S ribosomal RNA". It matches the Rfam family "Bacterial small subunit ribosomal RNA", at positions 508 to 796 of the family's 1533-position model. The record is from RNAcentral. Lineage: Bacteria; Bacillati; Bacillota; Bacilli; Lactobacillales; Lactobacillaceae.
CCAGCAGCCGCGGUAAUACGUAGGUGGCAAGCGUUGUCCGGAUUUAUUGGGCGUAAAGCGAGCGCAGGCGGUUUUUUAAGUCUGAUGUGAAAGCCUUCGGCUCAACCGAAGAAGUGCAUCGGAAACUGGGAAACUUGAGUGCAGAAGAGGACAGUGGAACUCCAUGUGUAGCGGUGAAAUGCGUAGAUAUAUGGAAGAACACCAGUGGCGAAGGCGGCUGUCUGGUCUGUAACUGACGCUGAGGCUCGAAAGUAUGGGUAGCAAACAGGAUUAGAUACCCUGGUAGUCC